RNAcentral lists this long non-coding RNA (631 nucleotides) under Sorghum bicolor (sorghum). RNAcentral describes it as "long non-coding RNA (SBIC_LNC005892)". The record is from RNAcentral. Lineage: Eukaryota; Viridiplantae; Streptophyta; Magnoliopsida; Poales; Poaceae.
ACUCCACGGACCUCAGCGGCAUCACCAUCGACUACGGCUCGGCGUUCCCGCUCAACCUCCGGCGCGCCACGCAGCUGGACAUCGAGGCGGAGUUCCAGCUCGACCGCCGCGCCGUCAUGUCGCUCAACGAGGCCGACGUGGGGUACAACUGCAGCACGAGCGGUGGCGCCGCGGCCCGCGGUGCCCUCGGCCCCUUCGGCCUGCUCGUCCUCGCCGACAAGCACCUGCGCGAGCAGACGGCCGUCUACUUCUACGUGGCCAAGGGCCUGGACGGCUCCCUCACCACGCACUUCUGCCAGGACGAGUCCCGGUCCUCCAGCGCCAACGACAUCGUCAAGCGCGUCGUCGGCAGCUCCGUCCCCGUGCUGGACGACGAGACCACGCUCUCGCUCCGCGUGCUCGUCGACCACUCCAUCGUCGAGAGCUUCGCGCAGGGCGGAAGGUCGACGGCAACCUCGCGCGUCUACCCCACCGAGGCCAUCUACGCCAACGCCGGCGUGUUCCUCUUCAACAACGCCACCGCCGCGCGCGUCACCGCCAAGAAGCUCGUCGUCCACGAGAUGGACUCAUCCUACAACCACGACUACAUGGUCACGGACAUCUGAUGCUGCUGCUGAUCCGUCGAUCGUCC